This 517-nucleotide ribosomal RNA is filed under the name uncultured bacterium. Its description in RNAcentral is "bacterial SSU rRNA". It matches the Rfam family "Bacterial small subunit ribosomal RNA", at positions 8 to 502 of the family's 1533-position model. The record is from RNAcentral.
AGAGUUUGAUCCUGGCUCAGAAUGAACGCUGGCGGCGUGGAUUAGGCAUGCAAGUCGAACGCGAACGGGAAUCUUCGGAAUCCCUAGUAGAGUGGCGAACUGGUGAGUAGCGCUUGGGGAACCUGCCCUUGAGUGGGGAACAUGUCCGAAAGACGUAAAUCCCGCAUAACAUCUUCCGCUCGCAUGGGUGGAAGAUCAAAGGCGCCCUCUGAUUCAAGGUGCCGCUUAAGGAUGGCCCCGAGUCCUAUUAGCUUGUUGGUGAGGUAACGGCUCACCAAGGCGAUGAUGGGUAGCUGGCCUGAGAGGGUGGUCAGCCACACUGGGACUGAGAUACGGCCCAGACUCCUAAGGGAGGCAGCAGUCGAGAGGCAUCCGCAAUGGGCGAAAGCCCGACGGUGCGACGCCGCGUGGACGAUGAAGGCCUUAGGGUUGUAAAGUCCUGUCACAGGAGGGAGAACAACACCCAUCUUAAUAGGCUGGGUGUCUGACGUUGCUCCUGGAGAAAGACCCGCUAACU